RNAcentral lists this ribosomal RNA (500 nucleotides) under uncultured bacterium. RNAcentral describes it as "partial 16S ribosomal RNA". It matches the Rfam family "Bacterial small subunit ribosomal RNA", at positions 30 to 523 of the family's 1533-position model. The record is from RNAcentral.
AUUGAACGCUGGCGGCAUGCCUCACACAUGCAAGUCGAACGGCAGCACGGGAGCAAUCCUGGUGGCGAGUGGCGAACGGGUGAGUAAUGUAUCGGAACGUGCCCAGUCGUGGGGGAUAACGCAGCGAAAGCUGUGCUAAUACCGCAUACGAUCUAUAGAUGAAAGCGGGGGAUCGCAAGACCUCGCGCGAUUGGAGUGGCCGAUAUCAGAUUAGCUAGGUGGUGGGGUAAAAGCUUACCAAGGCGACGAUCUGUAGCUGGUCUGAGAGGACGACCAGCCACACUGGAACUGAGACACGGUCCAGACUCCUACGGGAGGCAGCAGUGGGGAAUUUUGGACAAUGGGCGCAAGCCUGAUCCAGCAAUGCCGCGUGCAGGAUGAAGGCCUUCGGGUUGUAAACUGCUUUUGUACGGAGCGAAAAGGCUCUCUCUAAUACAGGGGGCUCAUGACGGUACCGUAAGAAUAAGCACCGGCUAACUACGUGCCAGCAGCCGCGGUAA